GAUGAACGCUGGCGGCGUGCCUAAUACAUGCAAGUCGGGCGAAUGGAUUGAGAGCUUGCUCUUAUGAAGUUAGCGGCGGACGGGUGAGUAACACGUGGGUAACCUGCCCAUAAGACUGGGAUAACUCCGGGAAACCGGGGCUAAUACCGGAUAACAUUUUGAACCGAAUGGUUCGAAAUUGAAAGGCGGCUUCGGCUGUCACUUAUGGAUGGACCCGCGUCGCAUUAGCUAGUUGGUGAGGUAACGGCUCACCAAGGCAACGAUGCGUAGCCGACCUGAGAGGGUGAUCGGCCACACUGGGACUGAGACACGGCCCAAACUCCUACGGGAGGCAGCAGUAGGGAAUCUUCCGCAAUGGACGAAAGUCUGACGGAGCAACGCCGCGUGAGUGAUGAAGGCUUUCGGGUCGUAAAACUCUGUUGUUAGGGAAGAACAAGUGCUAGUUGAAUAUGCUGACACCUUGACGGUACCUAACCAGAAAGCCACGGCUAACUACGUGCCAGCCGCCGCGGUAA
RNAcentral lists this ribosomal RNA (515 nucleotides) under uncultured bacterium. RNAcentral describes it as "partial 16S ribosomal RNA". It matches the Rfam family "Bacterial small subunit ribosomal RNA", at positions 28 to 523 of the family's 1533-position model. The record is from RNAcentral.